UACGUAGGUGGCAAGCGUUGUCCGGAUUUAUUGGGUUUAAAGAGCUCGUAGGCGGCUUGGCAAGUCGGAUGUGAAAACUCCAGGCUCAACCUGGAGCCGCCAUUCGAUACUGCUAUGGCUAGAGUCCGGUAGGGGAGUGUGGAAUUCCCGGUGUAGCGGUGAAAUGCGCAGAUAUCGGGAGGAACACCGAUGGCGAAGGCAGCACUCUGGGCCGGUACUGACGCUGAGGAGCGAAAGCGUGGGGAGCGAACAGG
This 254-nucleotide ribosomal RNA is filed under the name uncultured bacterium. RNAcentral's name for it is "partial 16S ribosomal RNA". It matches the Rfam family "Bacterial small subunit ribosomal RNA", at positions 524 to 776 of the family's 1533-position model. The record is from RNAcentral.